RNAcentral lists this ribosomal RNA (546 nucleotides) under uncultured bacterium. RNAcentral's name for it is "bacterial SSU rRNA". It matches the Rfam family "Bacterial small subunit ribosomal RNA", at positions 777 to 1320 of the family's 1533-position model. The record is from RNAcentral.
AAUAGAUACCCAGGUAGUCCACGCCGUAAACGUUGGGCACUAGGUGUGGGACUCACUCAACGGGUUCCGUGCCGAAGCUAACGCAUUAAGUGCCCCGCCUGGGGAGUACGGCCGCAAGGCUAAAACUCAAAGGAAUUGACGGGGGCCCGCACAAGCGGCGGAGCAUGUUGCUUAAUUCGAGGCAACGCGAAGAACCUUACCUGGGCUUGACAUGUAGGGAAAGCCAUAGAGAUAUGGUGUCCCUUGGGGUCCCGUACACAGGUGGUGCAUGGCUGUCGUCAGUUCGUGUCGUGAGAUGUUGGGUUAAGUCCCGCAACGAGCGCAACCCUUAUCCUAUGUUGCCAGCGGGUAAUGCCGGGGACUCGUAGGAGACUGCCGGGGUCAACUCGGAGGAAGGUGGGGACGAGGUCAAGGUCAUCAUGCCCUUAUGUCCAGGGCUGCAAACAUGCUACAAUGGCCGGUACAACGGGCUGCGAUACCGCGAGGUUGCGCGAAUCCCUUAAAGCCGGUCUCAGUUCGGAUUGGAGUCUGCAACGUCGACGUCCA